GAUGAACGCUGGCGGCGUGCUUAACACAUGCAAGUCGAACGGAAAGGCCCUGCUUUUGUGGGGUGCUCGAGUGGCGAACGGGUGAGUAACACGUGAGUAACCUGCCCUUGACUUUGGGAUAACUUCAGGAAACUGGGGCUAAUACCGGAUAGGAGCUCCUGCUGCAUGGUGGGGGUUGGAAAGUUUCGGCGGUUCGGGAUGGACUCGCGGCUUAUCAGCUUGUUGGUGGGGUAGUGGCUUACCAAGGCUUUGACGGGUAGCCGGCCUGAGAGGGUGACCGGCCACAUUGGGACUGAGAUACGGCCCAGACUCCUACGGGAGGCAGCAGUGGGGAAUAUUGCACAAUGGGCGGAAGCCUGAUGCAGCAACGCCGCGUGCGGGAUGACGGCCUUCGAGUUGUAAACCGCUUUCGCCUGUGACGAAGCGUGAGUGACGGUAAUGGGUAAAGAAGCACCGGCUAACUACGUG
Molecule: ribosomal RNA, 468 nt
Filed under: uncultured bacterium
Lineage: Bacteria
Description: partial 16S ribosomal RNA
Rfam family: Bacterial small subunit ribosomal RNA
Source: RNAcentral